AUUGAACGCUGGCGGCAGGCCUAACACAUGCAAGUCGAGCGGUAACAUUUCUAGCUUGCUAGAAGAUGACGAGUGGCGGACGGGUGAGUAACGCGUAGAAAUCUACCUAGUAGUGGGGGAUAGCCCAGAGAAAUUUGGAUUAAUACCGCAUACGCCCUACGGGGGAAAGCGGGGGAUCUUCGGACCUCGUGCUAUUAGAUGAGUCUGCGUCGGAUUAGCUUGUUGGUGAGGUAAUGGCUCACCAAGGCGACGAUCCGUAGCUGGUCUGAGAGGAUGACCAGCCACACUGGAACUGAGACACGGUCCAGACUCCUACGGGAGGCAGCAGUGGGGAAUAUUGCACAAUGGGCGCAAGCCUGAUGCAGCCAUGCCGCGUGAGUGAUGAAGGCCUUAGGGUCGUAAAGCUCUUUCGCCAGAGAUGAUAAUGACAGUAUCUGGUAAAGAAGUCCCGGCUAACUCCGUG
RNAcentral lists this ribosomal RNA (463 nucleotides) under uncultured bacterium. Its description in RNAcentral is "bacterial SSU rRNA". It matches the Rfam family "Bacterial small subunit ribosomal RNA", at positions 30 to 507 of the family's 1533-position model. The record is from RNAcentral.